Molecule: long non-coding RNA, 211 nt
Filed under: Carica papaya (papaya)
Lineage: Eukaryota; Viridiplantae; Streptophyta; Magnoliopsida; Brassicales; Caricaceae
Description: long non-coding RNA (CPAP_LNC007142)
Source: RNAcentral
UCCGUUUCCCUCUAGUUUUUGACCGUUGUGCUCCUCGUUUCAUUCUAUUGCAGGUUAGCCGAAGAGAAGCUCUGACCGCAAGAUAGGAACGGUGGAGCCGCCGCAUUGGAAAACCUUUUCGCUAGUAGGGUCUCAGAUUUCCCUUUUUCCAGUCGAUAGAGGCUCCCUAACCCUUUUUUUUUUAAGGUUUCCAUGAAAAACUGGCCAAAAC